CNACCUGCCCACCACUUGGGGAUAACCUUGCGAAAGUAAGACUAAUACCCAAUGACGUCUCUAGAAGACAUCUGAAAGAGAUUAAAGAUUUAUCGGUGAUGGAUGGGGAUGCGUCUGAUUAGCUUGUUGGCGGGGUAACGGCCCACCAAGGCGACNAUCAGUAGGGGUUCUGAGAGGAAGGUCCCCCACAUUGGAACUGAGACACGGUCCAAACUCCUACGGGAGGCAGCAGUGAGGAAUAUUGGUCAAUGGACGAGAGUCUGAACCAGCCAAGUAGCGUGCAGGAAGACGGCCCUAUGGGUUGUAAACUGCUUUUAUAAGGGAAUAAAGUGAGUCUCGUGAGACUUUUUGCAUGUACCUUAUGAAUAAGGACCGGCUAAUUCCGUGCCAGCAGCCGCGGUAAUACGGAAGGUCCGGGCGUUAUCCGGAUUUAUUGGGUUUAAAGGGAGCGUAGGCCGGAGAUUAAGCGUGUUGUGAAAUGUAGACGCUCNACGUCUGCACUGCAGCGCGAACUGGUUUCCUUGAGUACGCACAAAGUGGGCGGAAUUCGUGGUGUAGCGGUGAAAUGCUUAGAUAUCNCGAAGAACUCCGAUUG
RNAcentral lists this ribosomal RNA (595 nucleotides) under uncultured Bacteroidota bacterium. RNAcentral describes it as "bacterial SSU rRNA". It matches the Rfam family "Bacterial small subunit ribosomal RNA", at positions 122 to 715 of the family's 1533-position model. The record is from RNAcentral. Lineage: Bacteria; Pseudomonadati; Bacteroidota.